RNAcentral lists this non-coding RNA (31 nucleotides) under Rattus norvegicus (Norway rat). The record is from RNAcentral. Lineage: Eukaryota; Metazoa; Chordata; Mammalia; Rodentia; Muridae.
UGCAAAGCUGGAACCAGCCUUGUUCCCACGA